GUGAGGGUGUGUGAGUGGUGCUGUGGAUGUUUGUGUUUGCUGGCUCAAUGCUUUUGCAUUGAACGGUUUGCAUACAAUCCAAAUCAUUCUUCAUUGAUGCCUUUUGUGCCUUCGGUGUUUGUUCAUUGUUCCUGUUUUGCUUACCUAUAAUACGGUACAUAAGUUGGCUUGUUAGGCUUUUACCAUCCCAUACCCCGUAAGGGUGUUGUGGUGGCUUUUGAAUGUGUACAUAUGCCUUGUAUUAGAUGUCAUGUGUGAUGUCUCUUGCUGUGCGCAUGUAUUCUCUGAUUUCUUGGAUGCGGUGCUUGUGAUGACCCUUGGUUCUUUCAAUGAUGUCCCUUAUUAUCGGUUGCCUUAAAUUAUGCCUGCUCUAUUGCCUGUUUUGCUCCCCUUUUGUGGUGCGCAAAACUUGCACUAUGUGCAGAGUCAUUAAUGGAUG
RNAcentral lists this unclassified non-coding RNA (439 nucleotides) under Trifolium subterraneum. The record is from RNAcentral. Lineage: Eukaryota; Viridiplantae; Streptophyta; Magnoliopsida; Fabales; Fabaceae.